GAGGGCGAACCUAGUACGGAUUCCGAAGACUGUGUAGAAAUGAGAAAGGAUCAUCAGUACCAAUGGAAUGACCUAUCUUGUUCAGACCGAAUUCAGAGUCUAUGUCAAAUUGGAAUUCCUGCCUGCGGUGACCCAGGUGAACCUUUGCAUGGUAAUCGUUUACCAGACGACAGAACAACUUACUCCGUCGAUGCUACUCUUCAUUUCACCUGUCAGGAGGGAUACACAUUAACUGGAGAAAGCGUUGUAAGGUGUAUGACUAAUGGAGCAUGGAAUCAUCAAAGACCAUCGUGUGAAGCUGUCGAAUGUGAAGAAAGCCCCCCAAACGUCACACUUUCCUCCAACAUGAUACUAGGAUCAGUGUAUCAAGAUAUAGCUGUAUACAUAUGUCAGGGUGGUUAUAUUCCUGAUAAUGAACCAAUCAGCUUCUGCCAGCAUACAGGCAU
This is a long non-coding RNA of Strongylocentrotus purpuratus (purple sea urchin), 446 nucleotides long. RefSeq lists it as uncharacterized. The record is from RefSeq and is a predicted model, not a curated record. NCBI's taxonomy places the organism in Eukaryota, Metazoa, Echinodermata, Echinoidea, Camarodonta, Strongylocentrotidae. The transcript is spliced from 3 exons.